RNAcentral lists this unclassified non-coding RNA (80 nucleotides) under Rhizobium mongolense subsp. loessense. Its description in RNAcentral is "Rhizobium loessense suhB". The stretch from base 1 to 71 matches the Rfam family "Alphaproteobacterial ar15", at positions 44 to 112 of the family's 112-position model. The record is from RNAcentral. Lineage: Bacteria; Pseudomonadati; Pseudomonadota; Alphaproteobacteria; Hyphomicrobiales; Rhizobiaceae.
AGCUGUUCCCCUCUGGAGGUUUUUUGACCUUCACACCUUAAAGGGCCCCGAACGUUCGGCGGCCCUCUUUUUUUGCUUGA